RNAcentral lists this ribosomal RNA (482 nucleotides) under uncultured bacterium. RNAcentral describes it as "partial 16S ribosomal RNA". It matches the Rfam family "Bacterial small subunit ribosomal RNA", at positions 28 to 507 of the family's 1533-position model. The record is from RNAcentral.
GAUGAACGCUAGCGGCAGGCCUAAUACAUGCAAGUCGGACGGGAUUCAGGAGCUUGCUUCUGAUGAGAGUGGCGCACGGGUGCGUAACACGUAUGUAACCUACCUUUAUCAGGGGGAUAGCCUCUCGAAAGAGAGAUUAAGCCCGCAUAAAAUCACAGCACAGCAUUGUGUAAUGAUCAAAUAUUUAUAGGAUAAAGAUGGGCAUGCGGAACAUUAGCUAGAUGGCGGGGUAACGGCCCACCAUGGCGACGAUGUUUAGGGGAUCUGAGAGGAUGGCCCCCCACACUGGUACUGAGACACGGACCAGACUCCUACGGGAGGCAGCAGUAAGGAAUAUAGGUCAAUGGGCGGAAGCCUGAACCAGCCAUGCCGCGUGCAGGAAGACGGCCCUACGGGUUGUAAACUGCUUUUAUACGGGAAUAAACCCAGAUACGUGUAUCUGGCUGAAUGUACUGUAAGAAUAAGGAUCGGCUAACUCCGUG